AUACGUAGGUGGCGAGCGUUGUCCGGAAUUACUGGGUGUAAAGGGAGCGUAGGCGGUUUGGUAAGUUGAGUGUGAAAUCUACCGGCUUAACUGGUAGGCUGCGCUCAAAACUACCAAACUUGAGUGAAGUAGAGGCAGGCGGAAUUCCCGGUGUAGCGGUGAAAUGCGUAGAUAUUAGGAGGAACACCAGUGGCGAAGGCGGCUUACUGGACUGUAACUGACGUUGAGGCUCGAAAGCGUGGGGAGC
RNAcentral lists this ribosomal RNA (247 nucleotides) under uncultured bacterium. RNAcentral's name for it is "partial 16S ribosomal RNA". It matches the Rfam family "Bacterial small subunit ribosomal RNA", at positions 523 to 769 of the family's 1533-position model. The record is from RNAcentral.